GAUGAACGCUGGUGGCGCGCCUAACACAUGCAAGUCGAACGGCACCCACCUCCGGGUGGAAGCGAGUGGCGAACGGYUGAGUAACACGUGGAGAACCUGCCCCCUCCUCCGGGAUAGCCGCGGGAAACCGCGGGUAAUACCGGAUGACGCCCGGGAAGCGCAUGCUGCCCGGGCCAAAGCCCAGACGGGAGGGGAUGGCUCCGCGGCCCAUCAGGUAGACGGCGGGGUGACGGCCCACCGUGCCGACAACGGGUAGCCGGGUUGAGAGACCGACCGGCCAGWUUGGGACUGAGACACGGCCCAGACUCCUACGGGAGGCAGCAGUGGGGAAUCUUGCGCAAUGGGGGAAACCCUGACGCAGCGACGCCGCGUGCGGGACGAAGGCCUUCGGGUCGUAA
RNAcentral lists this ribosomal RNA (398 nucleotides) under uncultured bacterium. Its description in RNAcentral is "bacterial SSU rRNA". It matches the Rfam family "Bacterial small subunit ribosomal RNA", at positions 28 to 428 of the family's 1533-position model. The record is from RNAcentral.